GACGAACGCUGGCGGCGUGCUUAACACAUGCAAGUCGAACGGAAAGGCCCUGCUUUUGUGGCGUGGUCGAGUGGCGCACGGGUGAGUAUAACGUGUGUAACCUGCCCUUGACUGUGUGAUAACUUCAGGAAACUCGGGCUAAUACCGGAUAUGAGCUCCUGCUGCACGGUGGGGGAUAGAGAGUGUCGGCGGUGCGGGCUGGACUCGCUGCUUAUCAGCUUGUUUGUGGGGUAGUGGCUUACAAAGGCUUUGACGGGUAGCCGGCCUGGGAGGGUGACCGGCGACAUUGGGACUGCGAUACGGCGCAGACUCCUACGGGAGGCAGUAGUGGGGAAUAUUGCACAAUGGGCCGAAGCCUGAUGCAGCAACGCCGCGUGCGGGAUGACGGCCUUCGGGUUGUAAACCGCUGUCGCCUGUGACGAAGCGUGAGUGACGGUAAUGGGUAAAGAAGCACCGGCUAACUACGUG
RNAcentral lists this ribosomal RNA (468 nucleotides) under uncultured bacterium. Its description in RNAcentral is "partial 16S ribosomal RNA". It matches the Rfam family "Bacterial small subunit ribosomal RNA", at positions 28 to 507 of the family's 1533-position model. The record is from RNAcentral.